UAAUGAGUCAAUGUUCUCUAGCCCAAGAA
RNAcentral lists this non-coding RNA (29 nucleotides) under Homo sapiens (human). Lineage: Eukaryota; Metazoa; Chordata; Mammalia; Primates; Hominidae. The record is from RNAcentral.